AUUGAACGCUGGCGGCAGGCCUAACACAUGCAAGUCGAACGGAACCUUCGGGUUUAGUGGCGAACGGGUGAGUAAUGCCUAGGAAUCUGCCUAUUAGUGGGGGAUAACGAAUCGAAAGGUUCGCUAAUACCGCAUACGUCCUACGGGAGAAAGAGGGGGAUCUUCGGACCUCUUGCUAAUAGAUGAGCCUAGGUCGGAUUAGCUAGUUGGUGAGGUAAAGGCUCACCAAGGCGACGAUCUGUAGCUGGUCUGAGAGGAUGGCCAGCCACACUGGAACUGAGACACGGUCCAGACUCCUACGGGAGGCAGCAGUGGGGAAUAUUGGACAAUGGGCGCAAGCCUGAUCCAGCCAUGCCGCGUGUGUGAAGAAGGCCUUCGGGGUUGUAAAGCACUUUCAGCGAGGAGGAAAGGUUGGUAGCUAAUAACUGCCAGCUGUGACGUUACUCGCAGAAGAAGCACCGGGCUAACUCCGUGCCAGCAGCCGCGGGUAAUUCC
This 495-nucleotide ribosomal RNA is filed under the name uncultured bacterium. Its description in RNAcentral is "bacterial SSU rRNA". It matches the Rfam family "Bacterial small subunit ribosomal RNA", at positions 30 to 527 of the family's 1533-position model. The record is from RNAcentral.